Non-coding RNA from Misgurnus anguillicaudatus (oriental weatherfish), 896 nucleotides. The record is from RefSeq and is a predicted model, not a curated record. Lineage: Eukaryota; Metazoa; Chordata; Actinopteri; Cypriniformes; Cobitidae.
UUACAAUGAGUGAACAAAUUUACAUGGUUUUUAACAAAUUUACAAUGAGUGAACAAAUUUACAAGUUUUUAAACAAAUUUACAUGUUUUUAAACAAAUUUACAAUGAGUGAACAAAUUUACAAGAUUUUUAACUCAUUUACAAUGAGCGAACAAAAUUACAAGUUUUGAAACAAAUUUACAUUUAUUACGGAAAGGGUAGGUACAAUACCCUGACGUCACGCAUCCGAGCCUCCGGUGAGAAACCCGGAAGUAUCGCCGUGAAUCACAUGAGAGUUGUGAAUGCGAUGUUGUCUAUUAGGCUGUACAUAAUAUUAACGGAAAGACAGUGAUAAUAUAUAACCUUUCAUCGCUUCCGAAGUGACUAAAAGGGAUAUUGGACCUUAUUUUCAGAUUACAGACAACACGAGAGGGUGCUUAGAACGUUUUAAUCAGGACUGCAUUGUUCGUUCGCUCCCGGUGUUACAAGACUGAAAAGAGGAAGUGUGACGAGUUUGUUUACAUGGUGCUGUAAACUCCAACCCAGAAGGACAAUUCAGAGGAAUCAAGGUGUCUGUGAUAUUGAAACACUAAAGGAAGAAGAGGAGGACCACCAUUCGUUUCCUGAUCAGAACACAAGAGAAGAAUCUAACAGUGAUUCUGGGGCAUUGCAACACUAUGAUUACCUGAAAACAUCUCCUAUUAUGGAAGAUUAUCGCAACAUUUGUGUCUUGGAUCAGUUUUUCUUGUUUCUCUGCCGUAUGAGGCAGGGUCUUCUUUCCGCAGAUUUAGCUGUAAGGUUUAAAGGUCCCGUUUAUCCUGAUUCCAUUAUUUAAACUUUAGUUGGUGUGCAAUGUUGCUGUUAGAGCAUAAAUAAUACCUGUAAAUUAUAAAGCUCAAAAUUCUAUACCAACAAUAU